This 428-nucleotide ribosomal RNA is filed under the name uncultured Propionicimonas sp. RNAcentral's name for it is "bacterial SSU rRNA". It matches the Rfam family "Bacterial small subunit ribosomal RNA", at positions 338 to 795 of the family's 1533-position model. The record is from RNAcentral. Lineage: Bacteria; Bacillati; Actinomycetota; Actinomycetes; Propionibacteriales; Nocardioidaceae.
CCUACGGGAGGCUGCAGUGGGGAAUAUUGCGCAAUGGGCGAAAGCCUGACGCAGCAACGCCGCGUGCGGGAUGACGGCCUUCGGGUUGUAAACCGCUUUCAGCAGGGACGAAGGGUUUCUGACGGUACCUGCAGAAGAAGCACCGGCUAACUACGUGCCAGCAGCCGCGGUGAUACGUAGGGUGCGAGCGUUGUCCGGAAUUAUUGGGCGUAAAGAGCUUGUAGGCGGUCCGUUGCGUCGGAAGUGAAAACUCGGGGCUUAACCCCGGGCGGACUUGAGGGAUGUAGGGGAGAACGGAAUUCCUGGUGGAGCGGUGGAAUGCGCAGAUAUCAGGAGGAACACCAGUGGCGAAGGCGGUUCUCUGGACAUUUCCUGACGCUGAGAAGCGAAAGCGUGGGGAGCAAACAGGCUUAGAUACCCUGGUAGUC